Molecule: ribosomal RNA, 291 nt
Filed under: Bacillus sp. BC2_NA3A5
Lineage: Bacteria; Bacillati; Bacillota; Bacilli; Caryophanales; Bacillaceae
Description: partial 16S ribosomal RNA
Rfam family: Bacterial small subunit ribosomal RNA
Source: RNAcentral
UGUCGUGAGAUGUUGGGUUAAGUCCCGCAACGAGCGCAACCCUUGAUCUUAGUUGCCAUCAUUAAGUUGGGCACUCUAAGGUGACUGCCGGUGACAAACCGGAGGAAGGUGGGGAUGACGUCAAAUCAUCAUGCCCCUUAUGACCUGGGCUACACACGUGCUACAAUGGACGGUACAAAGAGCUGCAAGACCGCGAGGUGGAGCUAAUCUCAUAAAACCGUUCUCAGUUCGGAUUGUAGGCUGCAACUCGCCUACAUGAAGCUGGAAUCGCUAGUAAUCGCGGAUCAGCAU